UGACUUCCCAUGUAUCUGAAGGAGGACUUUUUGUUGUUCUUGAUUUCCGUAGCUAGCCUAAGUUUGGUUUGCGCGUUGGCUUUUCUCGACCACUCUCUACAGGUGCGGGUGAGUGCAGAGUAAUCCUCUUUGGUAAUGCUUCCCAUUUUCCAGCUGGUGUAGGCUAGUCUUUUGAGCUGAAUGAGGUCCAACGGUUCCUUAUUCAGCGAUGGGGCCUUCCUUGCCCGUUGAGUUCAUUUCUUGUGAGAUGGUAUAGCUUUGCCCUGUGCUUCAAGGAUUAUGUUUUU
Molecule: long non-coding RNA, 287 nt
Organism: Gavialis gangeticus (Gharial)
Lineage: Eukaryota; Metazoa; Chordata; Crocodylia; Gavialidae
Exons: 2
Source: RefSeq, a predicted model, not a curated record